This 75-nucleotide transfer RNA is filed under the name Dehalococcoidia bacterium SG8_51_3. Its description in RNAcentral is "tRNA-Met". It matches the Rfam family "tRNA". Rfam says of the family: Transfer RNA (tRNA) molecules are approximately 80 nucleotides in length. The record is from RNAcentral. Lineage: Bacteria; Bacillati; Chloroflexota; Dehalococcoidia.
CGCGGGGUAGAGCAGUGGUAGCUCGUCGGGCUCAUAACCCGGAGGUCGUUGGUUCGAAUCCAACCCCCGCUACCA